This 492-nucleotide ribosomal RNA is filed under the name uncultured bacterium. RNAcentral describes it as "partial 16S ribosomal RNA". It matches the Rfam family "Bacterial small subunit ribosomal RNA", at positions 29 to 507 of the family's 1533-position model. The record is from RNAcentral.
AGUGAACGCUGGCGGUAGGCCUAACACAUGCAAGUCGAACGGCAGCACAGUAAGAGCUUGCUCUUACGGGUGGCGAGUGGCGGACGGGUGAGGAAUACAUCGGAAUCUACUUUUUCGUGGGGGAUAACGUAGGGAAACUUACGCUAAUACCGCAUACGACCUACGGGUGAAAGCAGGGGAUCUUCGGACCUUGCGCGAUUGAAUGAGCCGAUGUCGGAUUAGCUAGUUGGCGGGGUAAAGGCCCACCAAGGCGACGAUCCGUAGCUGGUCUGAGAGGAUGAUCAGCCACACUGGAACUGAGACACGGUCCAGACUCCUACAGGAGGCAGCAGUGGGGAAUAUUGGACGAUGGGCGCAAGCCUGAUCCAGCCAUACCGCGUGGGUGAAGAAGGCCUUCGGGUUGGAAAGCCCUUUUGUUGGGAAAGAAAAGCAGCAGGUUAAUACCCCGCUGUUCUGACGGUACCCAAAGAAUAAGCACCGGCUAACUUCGUG